RNAcentral lists this ribosomal RNA (820 nucleotides) under uncultured Pseudomonadota bacterium. RNAcentral describes it as "bacterial SSU rRNA". It matches the Rfam family "Bacterial small subunit ribosomal RNA", at positions 70 to 867 of the family's 1533-position model. The record is from RNAcentral. Lineage: Bacteria; Pseudomonadati; Pseudomonadota.
AAAGUCCCCUUCGGGGGGUGAGUAGAGUGGCGCACGGGUGAGUAACACGUAGGUAAUCUACCUUCGGGUGGGGAAUAACCCAGGGAAACUUGGGCUAAUACCGCAUAAUGCAGCGGCACCACAUGGUGACAGUUGUUAAAGCGGGGGAUCUUCGGAUCUCGCGCCUGAAGAGGAGCCUGCGGCAGAUUAGCUAGUUGGUAAGGUAACGGCUUACCAAGGCGACGAUCUGUAGCCGGCCUGAGAGGGCGGUCGGCCACACUGACACUGACAUACGGGUCAGACUCCUACGGGAGGCAGCAGUCGGGAAUUUUGGGCAAUGGGCGAAAGCCUGACCCAGCAACGCCGCGUGAAGGAUGAAAUCCCUCGGGAUGUAAACUUCGCAAGAAUGGGAAGAAUUAGUAGGGGUUAAUACCCUCUAUGAUGACGGUACCAUUUGUAAGCUCCGGCUAACUCCGUGCCAGCAGCCGCGGUAAUACGGGGGGAGCAAGCGUUGUUCGGAUUUACUGGGCGUAAAGGGCGCGUAGGCGGUCAGCACAAGUCAGUUGUGAAAUCUCCGGGCUUAACUCGGAAAGGUCAACUGAUACUGUGCGACUAGAGUGCAGAAGGGGCAACUGGAAUUCUCGGUGUAGCGGUGAAAUGCGUAGAUAUCGAGAGGAACACCUGCGGCGAAGGCGGGUUGCUGGGCUGACACUGACGCUGAUGCGCGAAAGCCAGGGGAGCGAACGGGAUUAGAUACCCCGGUAGUCCUGGCCUUAAACGAUGGAUGCUUGGUGUCUGGAGUUUUAUAGUCUCCGGGUGCCGUAGCUAACGCGUUAAGCAU